RNAcentral lists this ribosomal RNA (747 nucleotides) under uncultured bacterium. RNAcentral's name for it is "bacterial SSU rRNA". It matches the Rfam family "Bacterial small subunit ribosomal RNA", at positions 84 to 851 of the family's 1533-position model. The record is from RNAcentral.
AAAUUGACUUAGCGGCGGACGGGUGAGUAACGCGUGGGUAACCUGCCUCAUACAGGGGGAUAACAGUUAGAAAUGACUGCUAAUACCGCAUAAGCGCACAGUGUCACAUGACACAGUGUGAAAAACUCCGGUGGUAUGAGAUGGACCCGCGUCUGAUUAGGUAGUUGGUGGGGUAAUGGCCCACCAAGCCACCGAUCAGUAGCCGACCUGAGAGGGUGACCGGCCACAUUGGGACUGAGACACGGCCCAAACUCCUACGGGAGGCAGCAGUGGGGAAUAUUGGACAAUGGGGGAAACCCUGAUCCAGCGACGCCGCGUGACUGAAGAAGUAUUUCGGUAUGUAAAGGUCUAUCAGCAGGGAAGAAAAUGACGGUACCUGACUAAGAAGCCCCGGCUAACUACGUGCCAGCAGCCGCGGUAAUACGUAGGGGGCAAGCGUUAUCCGGAUUUACUGGGUGUAAAGGGAGCGUAGACGGCACUGCAAGUCCGAAGUGAAAGCCCGGGGCUCAACCCCGGGACUGCUUUGGAAACUGUGGAGCUAGAGUGCAGGAGAGGUAAGUGGAAUUCCUAGUGUAGCGGUGAAAUGCGUAGAUAUUAGGAGGAACACCAGUGGCGAAGGCGGCUUACUGGACUGUAACUGACGUUGGGGCUCGAAAGCGUGGGGAGCGAACAGGAUUAGAUACCCUGGUAGUCCACGCCGUAACGAUGAAUACUAGGUGUCGGGGAGCAAGCUCUUCGGUGCCGUCG